CCAACACACAUGUCAGCAUGUUAACUAUUUCAAAUAAAAUAUUAAAAGAGCCAAUGGGUUGGUGCCACGGCACUCACGAGUCACGACACAUUCCUAAAUAAAGUGUACGGUAAACAAUCAGCACAGAAGCCAAAAACCCCAGGCUUUCUAAGUCAUCACGGCAGCAAAUGCAAAUAUUUAUCUGAAACAUUCUAACGCUAUCACCACGUCGGUGCUUUGCAAAACAUUGACACGUAACAUUAAUGUAUACCGAUUACUUUAACUCAAUCAUCAAAGAAAAGGCUUAAGCAAAGUCAAUUUUGAUCUGUAUUUGGGGGUCAUGCAAAUGCCAAGCCACCAUAUUAAGUGGAAAGAUACUUUGAAUUCAGGGAAUAUUAUUUGGAGCGUCAGUAAGAAUAGAGUGCGCGGUGCGUAAAAAUCUUAUUCACGAAAAUAGUAAAUUGACGUUUCAUCUAGUUUUGGUAGGUUUGAAGUCAGUUCCACGU
RNAcentral lists this long non-coding RNA (485 nucleotides) under Malus domestica (apple). RNAcentral describes it as "long non-coding RNA (MDOM_LNC011820)". The record is from RNAcentral. Lineage: Eukaryota; Viridiplantae; Streptophyta; Magnoliopsida; Rosales; Rosaceae.